UACAUUUCUUAGCUCAUGAUUCAUACCCUUUCUAUUCAAAGGGCUUAGAGGUUUAUUUUUGAAAAUAUCAUAAAACCAUAGUGUCACUUACUCCUCAAUAGUAAGAGAAUUCCUACCAUAGCCAUAUAUGUUCAUACAUUGUUCAAAACCCUUCUAUAUAUGCUACUUGUACUUGUGUUGAGUUUAGUCAAACCUUGUGACCCUAGUUGAGAAUUAUGUCAUAGUCCCAAAAUCAAGAUCACACACACACACCACAUAUAUAUGCUGCUUCUACAUUGGAAUUACGCAAAAACAUGUCAUCCAUUUCCACCAUAUAGAUGCUCCAUGUUUUAAGGUUUAGAAUAUCUCUCUCUAAGUAUUGGUUAUAAGAUGAGACACAAAGGCUAUGCUUAGUAAAAAAAAGUGGGCACAUGAAGGUCCAUUGCUUUUGAAAAAACAGAAAAGAAAAAAAUGCUAGCCAUGUAUCAAAUAAAAUAGAGAGAGAUCUUAUCAAAUAUAGGAGCAUUCUAUUCUAAUAAUUUUUCACACACUUACACAUCUU
RNAcentral lists this long non-coding RNA (541 nucleotides) under Sorghum bicolor (sorghum). Its description in RNAcentral is "long non-coding RNA (SBIC_LNC003001)". The record is from RNAcentral. Lineage: Eukaryota; Viridiplantae; Streptophyta; Magnoliopsida; Poales; Poaceae.